GUUCGAUUAUGGCUCAGAUUGAACGCUGCUGGCGGGAUGCUUUACACAUGCAGGUCAGACGGCGGCACACGGACUUCCGGUCUGGUGGCGAGUGGCGAACGGGUGAGUAAUGUAUCGGAACGUGCCUAGUAGCGGGGGAUAACUACACGAAAGGCGUAGCUAAUACCGCAUACGCCCUUCGGAAAGCGGGGGACCUUCGGGCCUCGCACUAUUAGAGCGGCCGAUAUCGGAUUGGCUAGUUGGUGGGGUAACGGCUCACCGUGACGAUCCGUAGCUGGUUUGAGAGGACGACCAGCCACACUGGGACUGAGGGCAGCCCAGACUCCUGAAGGCAGCGAUGAAAUUUUGGACAAUGUGGAAGCCCUGAUCAGCCAUCCCGCGUGUGCGAUGAAGGCCUUCGGGUUGUAAACACUUUUGGCAGGAAAGAAACGGCACGGGAUAAUACCCAGUACAGCAUGACCACCUGCAGAAUAACAUUAACUACGUGCCAGCAGCCGCGGUAAUACGUAAGGGUGCAAGCGUUAAUCCAGAAUUACUGGGCGUAAAGCGUGCGCCAGGCGGUUCCGGAAAGAAAGAUGUGAAAUCCAGAGCUUAACUUUGAACUGCAUUUUUAACUACCGAGCUAGAGUGUCAGAGGGAGGUGGAAUUCCGCGUGUAGCAGUGAAAUGCGUAUUCAUGCGGAGGAACACCGAUGGCGAAGGCAGCCUCCUGGGAUAACACUGACGCUCAUGCACGAAAAAGCGUGAGGCAAACAGGAUUAGAUACCCUGGUAGUCCACGCCUAAACGAUGUCAACUAACAAUUUGCAGGGCCUUCGGGCCUUGGUAGCGCAGCUAACGCGUGAAGUUGACCGCCUGGGAAUCUCAGGUCGCGGAAUUAAAGCUCAAAGGAAUUGACGGGGACCGCAAGCGGUGGAUGAUGUGGACAAUUCGAUGCAACGCGAAAAACCUUACCUACCCUUAGACCUGCCGGAAUCCCGAAAGAGAUUUGGGAGUGCUCGCAAAGAGAACCGGAACUGGGUGCUGCAUGGCUGUCGUCAGCUCGUGUAUUGAGAUGUGGGUUUAAGUCCCGCAACGAGCGCAACCCUUGUCAUUAGUUGCUACGAAAGGGCACUCUAAUGGGGCUGCCGGCAGUGACAAACCGGAGGAAGUGGGGAUGACGUCAAGUCCUCAUGGCCCUUAUGGUAGAGCUUCACACGUCAUGUACAAUGGUCGGGACAGAGGAUAACACGCUGCGGGAGGAACGCCGUCGACUUGAUCGUAGUCCGGAUCGCAGUCUGCAACUCGACUGCGUGAAGUCAGAAUCGCUAGUAAUGGUAGCGGAUCAGCAUGUCGCGGUGAAUACGUUCCCGGGUCUUGUACACACCGCCCGUCACCAUGGGAGUGGGUUUUACCCAGAAGUAGUUAGCCUAACCGUAAGGGCGAUUACGGUAAGGAUUCAUGACUGGGGUGAAGUCGUAACAGGGUAA
RNAcentral lists this ribosomal RNA (1467 nucleotides) under uncultured Bordetella sp. Its description in RNAcentral is "partial 16S-23S ribosomal RNA intergenic spacer". It matches the Rfam family "Bacterial small subunit ribosomal RNA". The record is from RNAcentral. Lineage: Bacteria; Pseudomonadati; Pseudomonadota; Betaproteobacteria; Burkholderiales; Alcaligenaceae.